AAAACAGAGAGAAAAU
Molecule: small RNA, 16 nt
Filed under: Arabidopsis thaliana (thale cress)
Lineage: Eukaryota; Viridiplantae; Streptophyta; Magnoliopsida; Brassicales; Brassicaceae
Description: ATSL123480
Source: RNAcentral